Molecule: ribosomal RNA, 450 nt
Filed under: uncultured bacterium
Lineage: Bacteria
Description: partial 16S ribosomal RNA
Rfam family: Bacterial small subunit ribosomal RNA
Source: RNAcentral
GUGGGGAAUAUUGGACAAUGGGCGAAAGCCUGAUCCAGCCAUGCCGCGUGUGUGAAGAAGGUCUUCGGAUUGUAAAGCACUUUAAGUUGGGAGGAAGGGCAGUAAGUUAAUACCUUGCUGUUUUGACGUUACCAACAGAAUAAGCACCGGCUAACUUCGUGCCAGCAGCCGCGGUAAUACGAAGGGUGCAAGCGUUAAUCGGAAUUACUGGGCGUAAAGCGCGCGUGGGUGGUUCAGCAAGUUGGAGGUGAAAUCCCCGGGCUCAACCUGGGAACUGCCUCCAAAACUACUGAGCUAGAGUACGGUAGAGGGUAGUGGAAUUUCCUGUGUAGCGGUGAAAUGCGUAGAUAUAGGAAGGAACACCAGUGGCGAAGGCGACUACCUGGACUGAUACUGACACUGAGGUGCGAAAGCGUGGGGAGCAAACAGGAUUAGAAACCCCGGUAGUCC